CAAUAGCGUAUAUUAAAGCUGUUGCGGUUAAAAAGCUCGUAGUUGGAUUUCUGUCAAGGACAACUGGUCCGCCCUCCGGGUGAGCACAUAGUUUGGUCUUGACAUCUUGCUGGAAGCUGUUGUUGCACUUGGCUGUGUGGCGCAGUGUUCAGCACUUUCACUUUGAGGAAAUUGGAGUGUUUCAAGCAGGCACAUGCCUUUGGACACAGUAGCAUGGAAUAAUUAGAUUGGGCUUUUGCUCCAAUUUGUCGGUUUCUGGAGCUGAGGUGAGUAUUAAUGGGGAUUGUUGGGGGCAUCCGAAUUUAGCCGUCAGAGGUGAAAUUCUUGGAUCUGCUAAAGACGGACAACUGCGAAAGCGUUUGCCCAGGAUGUUUUCAUUGA
This 381-nucleotide ribosomal RNA is filed under the name uncultured eukaryote. Its description in RNAcentral is "partial 18S ribosomal RNA". It matches the Rfam family "Eukaryotic small subunit ribosomal RNA", at positions 592 to 976 of the family's 1831-position model. The record is from RNAcentral.